RNAcentral lists this transfer RNA (73 nucleotides) under Stegodyphus mimosarum. It matches the Rfam family "tRNA". Rfam says of the family: Transfer RNA (tRNA) molecules are approximately 80 nucleotides in length. Their secondary structure includes four short double-helical elements and three loops (D, anti-codon, and T loops). The record is from Rfam by way of RNAcentral. Lineage: Eukaryota; Metazoa; Arthropoda; Arachnida; Araneae; Eresidae.
GCCUUCGUGGUGUAGUGAUCAGCACGCUCGACGCGUAUUCAUCAGGUCCGUGGUUCGAGUCCCGGCGAGGGCA